This is a non-coding RNA of Ceratotherium simum simum (southern white rhinoceros), 534 nucleotides long. NCBI's taxonomy places the organism in Eukaryota, Metazoa, Chordata, Mammalia, Perissodactyla, Rhinocerotidae. The record is from RefSeq and is a predicted model, not a curated record.
GGGUGGGACAGCAUGUUUUAAAUUUUAGAUAGGAAGCCAAGAAAAGUAACUUCAGACUUGGAACAAAGUGAUAAGGGAGCCAGUCAUGCAGGGAGUCAGUCAUGCUCUGAGGAGGAGCACCUCAUUCAGAAGGAAAACCAAGUGCAAGGCUCUGAGAUGGGGGCACGCCUGGACAGUCCAUAGGAACAGCAAGGAGGAUAGUGUGGCCAGAGCAGAAUGAACGAGAACAGUAAGAUAUUGUGUGGGGACGUGUAAAGACUUUGGCUUUAACUCUCAGAUGGGAAACCACUGAAAGAAUUUAGAGUAGAGGAGUGAUAUAAUCUGACUUUUAUUUUAACAGGAUCACUCUGGCUGCUAGGGGAAGAGAGCCUGAAGGGCGAUAAGGGCUGGAGUGAGAUCAGUUAAGAAGCUAAUUCAAUAAUCUGGAUAAGAGAUUAAGAUGAAGACACCACUACAAGUAUGUGCCUGCAAGCCAGCCAACUGAUUAAUAACAGCAAAGUCCCUAAGACAGCACCUGAUGUGGCCUGUUGGAAG